GGGCCGGUGGUCUAGCCAGGAAAGGACACGGGCCUCCGGAGCCCGUGACGUGGGUUCGAAUCCCGCCCGGCCCGCCA
Molecule: transfer RNA, 77 nt
Filed under: Hadesarchaea archaeon
Lineage: Archaea; Methanobacteriati; Hadarchaeota (SeqCode); Hadarchaeia (SeqCode)
Also listed under: 1 other name
Description: tRNA-Arg
Rfam family: tRNA
About the family: Transfer RNA (tRNA) molecules are approximately 80 nucleotides in length. Their secondary structure includes four short double-helical elements and three loops (D, anti-codon, and T loops).
Source: RNAcentral